Long non-coding RNA from Photinus pyralis (common eastern firefly), 983 nucleotides. RefSeq lists it as uncharacterized. The transcript is spliced from 3 exons. The record is from RefSeq and is a predicted model, not a curated record. Lineage: Eukaryota; Metazoa; Arthropoda; Insecta; Coleoptera; Lampyridae.
UCUCAAUGAGUUUUUCCCCGUCAGAAAUUACAAACUUUUAAUUACAAUAGUUUUUCAUAUUUCAGAGAUUACGUCUAACUUUCCAGCACGGAAUUUGUUGGCGGAGGAUUAUUUGCGUUUAAUAAUUGGGGCAAUUAUCCGGACGUUCGAAUUUGUCAAUGAGGUAUGUGACCCGGGUUAAGCCACAUUUGCCAUAUAGUGUCUUGUUUGCUGGAUGUUAAUCUCAGUGUCACCGUAAUCGAUUUUGGAGCUGAUGUUUACACAAAAUUGGUAAACAAGGGCUUUAUCUUUAUCGAACGUAUUAAGAUUUGUCCACUUAGCAUUAUUUGAUAGACAAACAAAUUGCGUUAGCACUUUGUGUACGGUGUACCUACCGUAACCAAAUGGGUAAAAGCUCAAAUUGGAAGGGUAACAGUAAGGACAAGAUACGCAGUAGUCAGAUACCAGAAUGAAAGAAAAACUGAAUAAAAAGUAGUUGCACGAAUUCCAUUUCCAAAAGACACUUUUUAUCGACAUAAGAUAUAAAUCUGAACUCAACAUUCUUGGCGGAUAAAGAAAUGAUGGGGUGUACAGCUUUGCUAGUGCAUUUCCCAAACUAUGUGGCACCUCCCUCCACUGCAAGCGCAACGACAGCAGAAAAUCCUGUUUCACAAAGACAGUACCAAAGCCCGUACACACCAGUAUAUCAGUACCGUUUGGGUACUAUCUCAAAAAGAAAUCUGCUAUCUAUUAGAAACGUGGAUAUUUUGGUGUACUGGCUAGCGGAAUUUUGAAACUGUAUAUAGAUAACUAGCACGAGUAGGUACUAUUUAGUACUUCCUGUGCAAGUGUAACUGUCGAGUGUAAUCAGUUAUCUGCUAUAUUUAAGGAUAUGCUUGUACAGGAUACUGUACAGGGUGGUUCAAAUUCAUGGCUCACCAUUGGGAUCUUCGCCACGGCGAGAGAUACAGUAUGGGUUAAAUGGAGGCAGUUUUGUGAUUUAA